RNAcentral lists this ribosomal RNA (305 nucleotides) under uncultured bacterium. RNAcentral describes it as "partial 16S ribosomal RNA". It matches the Rfam family "Bacterial small subunit ribosomal RNA", at positions 505 to 807 of the family's 1533-position model. The record is from RNAcentral.
ACAGCAGCAGCCGCGGUAAUACGAAGGGUGCAAGCGUUAAUCGGAAUUACUGGGCGUAAAGCGCGCGUAGGCGGUUUGUUAAGUCUGUUGUGAAAUCCCCGGGCUCAACCUGGGAAUGGCAAUGGAUACUGGCAAGCUAGAGUGUGUCAGAGGAUGGUGGAAUUCCCAGUGUAGCGGUGAAAUGCGUAGAGAUCGGGAGGAACAUCAGUGGCGAAGGCGGCCAUCUGGGACAACACUGACGCUGAGGCACGAAAGCGUGGGGAGCAAACAGGAUUAGAUACCCCAGUAGUCCCUGUCUCUUAUAC